GGAUGCGAUCAUACCGGCACUAAAGCACCGGAUCCCAUCAGAACUCCGAAAUUAAGCGUGCUUGGGCGAGGGUAGUACUAGGAUGUGUGACCUCCUGGGAAGUCCUCGUGUUGCAUUCC
RNAcentral lists this ribosomal RNA (119 nucleotides) under Triticum aestivum (bread wheat). The record is from RNAcentral. Lineage: Eukaryota; Viridiplantae; Streptophyta; Magnoliopsida; Poales; Poaceae.